CAAUAGCGUAUAUUAAAGUUGUUGCAGUUAAAAAGCUCGUAGUUGGAUUUCUGGUCGGAAGCUCCUGUCCUCUGAUGAGCGUACAAGUGCGUCCUACCAUCCUUCUGUUAACCUUUAAGGCUUUCGCGGCUUUCUAGGGGCUCAGAUAUUUUACCUUGAGAAAAUUAGAGUGUUUCAGGCAGGCUAGCGCCGGAAUACAUUAGCAUGGAAUAAUGGAAUAGGACUUUUGCCUCUUCUGUCGGUCAUGAGGCUCGAGUAAUGAUUAAUAGGGAUAGUUGGGGGCAUUAGUACUUAACUGUCAGAGGUGAAAUUCUCGGAUUUGUUAAAGACUAACUUAUGCGAAAGCAUUUGCCAAGGAUGUUUUCAUUAA
RNAcentral lists this ribosomal RNA (370 nucleotides) under uncultured eukaryote. Its description in RNAcentral is "partial 18S ribosomal RNA". It matches the Rfam family "Eukaryotic small subunit ribosomal RNA", at positions 592 to 976 of the family's 1831-position model. The record is from RNAcentral.